AAUUAUACCGCGAAACUGCGAAUGGCUCAUUAUAUAAGUUAUCGUUUAUUUGAUAGUACCUUACUACUUGGAUAACCGUGGUAAUUCUAGAGCUAAUACAUGCUAAAAAUCCCGACUUCGGAAGGGAUGUAUUUAUUAGAUUAAAAACCAAUGCCCUUCGGGGCUCACUGGUGAUUCAUGAUAACUCCUCGAAUCGCAUGGCCUUGUGCCGGCGAUGGUUCAUUCAAAUUUCUUCCCUAUCAACUUUCGAUGUUUGGGUAUUGGCCAAACAUGGUUGCAACGGGUAACGGAGGGUUAGGGCUCGACCCCGGAGAAGGAGCCUGAGAAACGGCUACUACAUCCAAGGAAGGCAGCAGGCGCGCAAAUUACCCAAUCCCGACACGGGGAGGUAGUGACAAUAAAUACUGAUACAGGGCUCUUUUGGGUCUUGUAAUUGGAAUGAGUACAAUUUAAAUCCCUUAACGAGGAACAAUUGGAGGGCAAGUCUGGUGCCAGCAGCCGCGGUAAUUCCAGCUCCAAUAGCGUAUAUUAAAGUUGUUGUGGUUAAAAAGCUCGUAGUUGAACCUUGGGCCUGGCUGGCCGGUCCGCCUCACCGCGUGUACUGGUCCGGCCGGGCCUUUCCCUCUGUGGAACCCCAUGCCCUUCACUGGGUGUGGCGGGGAAACAGGACUUUUACUGUGAAAAAAUUAGAGUGCUCCAGGCAGGCCUAUGCUCGAAUACAUUAGCAUGGAAUAAUAGAAUAGACGUGUGGUUCUAUUUUGUUGGUUUCUAGG
RNAcentral lists this ribosomal RNA (773 nucleotides) under Fusarium oxysporum. RNAcentral's name for it is "SSU rRNA". It matches the Rfam family "Eukaryotic small subunit ribosomal RNA", at positions 72 to 855 of the family's 1831-position model. The record is from RNAcentral. Lineage: Eukaryota; Fungi; Ascomycota; Sordariomycetes; Hypocreales; Nectriaceae.